Long non-coding RNA from Branchiostoma floridae (Florida lancelet), 463 nucleotides. RefSeq lists it as uncharacterized. The record is from RefSeq and is a predicted model, not a curated record. Lineage: Eukaryota; Metazoa; Chordata; Leptocardii; Amphioxiformes; Branchiostomatidae. The transcript is spliced from 3 exons.
CUACUCCUCUGCCAACCAACUCCUCUAUCGUGUUUUCAAUCUUUUUGACAUAUUUCUACUGCUUUUCCAGCGACCUCGGGAGCCUGGUGGAGGCUACGGCCCGUCCCACGCCCUUGCCGCCGGAGGAGAGCUCCUGACGCCCCGCUCACGCCUGGUGUUCCUCCCGACUACUUACGCCUAAUGCGGACUGACAGAUGCCCUUCCUAUGCGGCAAACUCCACCAUCCCCCUCCAUGGUCAGCUCUUCCAGGGCGUACAGAAGCUGGUCUACUUUAGCAUUCAUGUUCUGUCCGGGCGAGUAACCAAGCAUAUUCCAAUUACGAAUUCAAAUUAAAGGGACAACAAAUUCAGCUUUAGAACCAUCCGUGUACAGAGAUGGUGGGCGCCAUCCAGCAACAUAUGAUCCACUGCUCACUGAGUCAUGUGUCCCAUCUUCAUAACGUGGCGUCACGGCAGCAGUGGAU